CAGCAGCCGCGGUAAUACCGGCGGCCCGAGUGGCGGUCACUAUUAUUGGGCUUAAAGCGUCCGUAGCCGGGUUGGGAAGUCCUCCGGGAAAUCUGGCCGCUUAACGGUCAGAAUGCCGGAGGAUACUCCCAGCCUAGGGAGCGGGAGAGGCCGAGGGUAUUCCCGGAGUAGGGGGGAAAUCCUAUAAUCCCGGGAGGACCACCUGUGGCGAAGGCGCUCGGCUGGAACGCGUCCGACGGUGAGGGACGAAGGCCAGGGGAGCAAACCGGAUUAGAUACCCGGGUAGUCCUGGCUGUAAACGAUGCGGACUUUGUGUCGGACAAGCUAUGAGCUUGUCCGGUGCCGGAGGGAAACCGUUAAGUCCGCCGCCUGGGGAGUACGGCCGCAAGGUUGAAACUUAAAGGAAUUGGCGGG
This 414-nucleotide ribosomal RNA is filed under the name uncultured microorganism. Its description in RNAcentral is "bacterial SSU rRNA". It matches the Rfam family "Archaeal small subunit ribosomal RNA", at positions 459 to 872 of the family's 1478-position model. The record is from RNAcentral.